This 251-nucleotide ribosomal RNA is filed under the name uncultured prokaryote. RNAcentral's name for it is "partial 16S rRNA". It matches the Rfam family "Bacterial small subunit ribosomal RNA", at positions 525 to 775 of the family's 1533-position model. The record is from RNAcentral.
ACGGAGGAUGCGAGCGUUAUCCGGAUUUAUUGGGUUUAAAGGGUGCGUAGGCGGAUUAAUAAGUCAGUGGUGAAAACCUGCAGCUUAACUGUAGAACUGCCAUUGAUACUGUUAGUCUUGAGUACGGUCAAGGUAGGCGGAAUGUGUAAUGUGGCGGUGUACUGGGUCGAUAUUGCAGAUGAGACAGGUAGCGGGGGGGGACUACCAGGAUCAUAUUCAUGGUGGUCCGCCAGAGCGUCUGCAGGGAGGAG